UCAUCUGUUGGUAUUCAGAAA
Molecule: non-coding RNA, 21 nt
Filed under: Caenorhabditis elegans
Lineage: Eukaryota; Metazoa; Nematoda; Chromadorea; Rhabditida; Rhabditidae
Source: RNAcentral